GGUGGCUCAGUGGUAGAGUGCUUGUCUUGCAUGCAUGGUGCCCUGGGUUCAAUUCCUCAGCACCA
Molecule: non-coding RNA, 65 nt
Organism: Dipodomys ordii (Ord's kangaroo rat)
Lineage: Eukaryota; Metazoa; Chordata; Mammalia; Rodentia; Heteromyidae
Source: Rfam